RNAcentral lists this transfer RNA (70 nucleotides) under Dipodomys ordii (Ord's kangaroo rat). It matches the Rfam family "tRNA". From Rfam's summary of the family: Transfer RNA (tRNA) molecules are approximately 80 nucleotides in length. The record is from Rfam by way of RNAcentral. Lineage: Eukaryota; Metazoa; Chordata; Mammalia; Rodentia; Heteromyidae.
GGGAAUGUAGCUUAGUGGUAGAGUGCUUGCUUAGCAUGCAUGAAGCCCUGGGUUCAAUUCCUCAGUACCA